UACGGGGGGGGCAAGCGUUGUUCGGAAUUAUUGGGCGUAAAGCGCGUGUAGGCGGCUUUGCAAGUCGGGUGUGAAAGCCCUGGGCUCAACCCAGGAAGUGCAUUCGAAACUAGCAGACUUGAAUACGGGAGAGGGUCGCGGAAUUCCCGGUGUAAAGGUGAAAUUCGUAGAUAUCGGGAGGAACACCAGUGGCGAAGGCGGCGACCUGGACCGAUACUGACGCUGAGACACGAAAGCGUGGGGAGCAAACAGG
This 253-nucleotide ribosomal RNA is filed under the name uncultured bacterium. RNAcentral describes it as "partial 16S ribosomal RNA". It matches the Rfam family "Bacterial small subunit ribosomal RNA", at positions 524 to 776 of the family's 1533-position model. The record is from RNAcentral.